CACGUAUUUAGCCGGAGCUUCUUUUUCAGGUACCGUCACUUUCUUCCCUGCUGAUAGAGCUUUACAUAACGAAUUACUUCUUCACUCACGCGGCGUCGCUGCAUCAGAGUUCCCUCCAUUGUGCAAUAUUCCCCACUGCUGCCUCCCGUAGGAGUCUGGGCCGUGUCUCAGUCCCAAUGUGGCCGUCCACCCUCUCAGGCCGGCUACUGAUCGUUGCCUUGGUGUGCUUUUACCACUCCAACUAGCUAAUCAGACGCGGGUCCAUCUCAUACCAGAUUUCUCCUUUUCACACAAAAACAUGCGUCCUCGUGCGCUUAUGCGGUUUUACCACCAGUUUCCCGAUGCUAUCCCCCUGUAUGAGGCAGGUUGCCCACGCGUUACUCACCCGUCCGCCACUAAGAUACUUCUCUUUCACCUCGAAAAGCUUCCAAGCAAUAUCUCCGUUCGACUUGCAUGUGUUAGGCACGCCGCCAGCGUUCAUCCUGAGCCAGGA
Molecule: ribosomal RNA, 493 nt
Filed under: uncultured Lachnospiraceae bacterium
Lineage: Bacteria; Bacillati; Bacillota; Clostridia; Lachnospirales; Lachnospiraceae
Description: partial 16S ribosomal RNA
Source: RNAcentral